ACAUGAUUUUGGUUAUGCUUACAGAUCCAUAUGUGUAUGUUUGCUAAUUAAGCAUUUUGAUCAUGACAAAUUUAGAGCUAUAGGAGACAAUCGAUGCAUACAUUAUAUGUGCACAUCCUAAAUGCGUAUCUUAGAUCAUACACCGAUAAAACUAUCAAGGACUAAAUACCAGGUUUCAUGUAGAACAGAAUUUACCUGCAGAAAAUUUUAUACUCAUAAACUUGCUUCUCUAAUGAAAUUAGUGUACAUCAUAAACUUACUUAAUGAAAUUAGUGUACAUCAUAAACUUGCUUUUCUAAUGCUGUUGGCUAAAUAUUGAUUGUUGUUCUAAUAUGUAUUUAUUUCUCACAAGUUUAUGUUUCCUACCAAAAGUUAGAAAUUCCGAAGUAAAAGGACCCUUGGAUGUUGCCACUUUCGAAUUUUGACAAUUUGCAAUUUAAGCGUCCAUAAUAUGGCACUUCUUGAGAUAUUUGAUCCAUAGAUGGAUAGAAAAAGCAAACUCAAAUCCAAUAUGCACGCCAUCAAAAUAUAAACCGUGGGCAAUACAAAGAUUUGUACAAAGUCAAUAGGGGUUCAUUACUUCCCUCUAAUUUCAAUGCGGUUUGGUAACCUCAUAUUAGAGAUAUUAUUAGAUAGCCACCAUGUCACACGUGGCUCUUUGUAAUAUGUCAGGGCUCAUGAUUCAAAUGCCAUUAGAUAUAUGUAUACAUGCCGUUAGGUACCAUGAUGUAUGACCUGAAAGAAAUUCAGUGAUGCCUUAAAAUCAGCAAAAGCUGAGUUUGUUCUAGCUCUGCUACAUGCGCAGAAGUCGAACACAACAAAAUAUUUGUGCACAUAUAAUAGCAUAACUCCACGCAAAUGAAGCCAGAAAACUGCAGCCAAACUCGCAAAUAUUCACACUACAACCUCUAUUAAACUGAGAGUCCAGGUAAUAGUCCAGUUAUCUACAAUAUUACAGUCAUACUUUUUCCCUUAUACUACACCAAAGUAAAAGAGCAUUAUGGCUUACCUUCUAACUUGCGCCUGCGUCGACGGUUGGCUUACCUUCCAAAAAUGAGGAUAAUAACCAACCCUUUUUCUUACCAUACUCCUCUACAUAACUCUGAAACUUCUCCUUGGCAUCAGGGAUGUCGAGAGCCAAAUCAUCGAUCCCAUCCUUAACCCUAGAGAACCCUUUAGUCAUCUGGUUGAUGGUGAUCAACCCCUCGCCAAAACACUGCUGAAGCAGCUCCAGAAUCCUCUCGUCGCUCUUCUUCUCCAUCGCCAUCACCAAAGCUUUCUUCACAACUUCAUGGUACUUCUUGAGGUGGAAAGGCAGUAGGCAAAAACUUCUAAGGAAUUUGAAUCUAAAACCAGACCUUAUAUUGGAGUCCUGGUACGUGCUACAUUGAUACAUUUGCCGGGGAGUAUGUUUGCUAAUGUGGAAAGUUCUCUACUAUACAGAGAUGUAGAUUUUUUUUGGGUAAUUUUAAUAUCUAUUUUGCUUUGUGAUACGUUCUCUACUAUACAUAGUUUGAUUCUGUUAUUCUGAAACCAACAGACAUCUUUCAUUUAAUUUUCAUUUUGUUGCCUUGGUCCAUUAUAACUCGUUUGUGCUAUGCUGAUGACCUCUUGCUAUUUUGUAAAGGAGAUGUUGGUUCUGUGAAAGCAAUGAUCAGCUGUUUUGACAAUUUUUCGAAGGCUACAGGGGAAAUAUUGAGGUCUCUAUGGUGAUUUCGGAUUCUAACCCUUGCUAUGAAGAUGCACAUAUGAGGCUUGCUGCAGUACUUUUAAUGUUGCUAUUGAGUCCAACUGAGUGUUAUGUUUGUUUCCUAGUCUUUUCUUUCUUCUGUCAUGAUCAUGUUCAUGCCUGAACAUUUGAAAGAUGGGAAAUAAGUGGACUAUGGUUGUGCUACUAUUUUGUUUAUAGACGAACUUACUACUCUUCUAGUUUAUCAAGUAAUUAAGUAGAUUGUCCUUACUAA
Molecule: long non-coding RNA, 1964 nt
Organism: Asparagus officinalis (garden asparagus)
Lineage: Eukaryota; Viridiplantae; Streptophyta; Magnoliopsida; Asparagales; Asparagaceae
Exons: 3
Source: RefSeq, a predicted model, not a curated record